Long non-coding RNA from Tympanuchus pallidicinctus (lesser prairie-chicken), 548 nucleotides. RefSeq lists it as uncharacterized. The transcript has 5 exons. Lineage: Eukaryota; Metazoa; Chordata; Aves; Galliformes; Phasianidae. The record is from RefSeq and is a predicted model, not a curated record.
CUACGAGUAUGGAAGGAUCUCUUUUGGAGAUCUGGUCUGCUGAAGUUUCAUAAACAACUUCAGGAUAUGGAUUGGGAACACAUGGAUGGCUUUUCAGUUCAAAGGCAAGCUGUGGGACUACCAAGAGAUUCAAAGAAACAAAGAAAAUUUCCAGGUUUAGGAUGGUUCCCAUAACAUGAGGGAGUGAUUACUUGCAGAAGAGGAGACAACACACUGUUCAUGUUUCUUUGUUUCGUUUGUGCAUAUUCAGGCUUUCUUAGAAGCAGUCAAGAAUGUGAAAAGUAUGGUCACUUUUCCCUUCAGUUGUGUUCUGGAAGGAUUAUGCAAACUACCUGUUUCAGCUAGAAUAUAUACUGUAUUAUAUAACAGGAAUUCAAGAAAAAUGAGGAACCUCCCCAGAUGCUUCCAAACUCAACGCCUGGAAAUAAGUAAAAUGACAGGGGUCAUUUCCUUGGCAUGGAAAAAAUCAGACAGAGCUAUGUACAAAUAUACUGAAAAAGGUUGAAAAUAAAAUUGUGCUAAGACCACUGGAUAAAAACAAACAAAUA